This 521-nucleotide ribosomal RNA is filed under the name Escherichia coli. RNAcentral's name for it is "partial 23S ribosomal RNA". It matches the Rfam family "Bacterial large subunit ribosomal RNA", at positions 1 to 561 of the family's 2925-position model. The record is from RNAcentral. Lineage: Bacteria; Pseudomonadati; Pseudomonadota; Gammaproteobacteria; Enterobacterales; Enterobacteriaceae.
GGUUAAGCGACUAAGCGUACACGGUGGAUGCCCUGGCAGUCAGAGGCGAUGAAGGACGUGCUAAUCUGCGAUAAGCGUCGGUAAGGUGAUAUGAACCGUUAUAACCGGCGAUUUCCGAAUGGGGAAACCCAGUGUGAUUCGUCACACUAUCAUUAACUGAAUCCAUAGGUUAAUGAGGCGAACCGGGGGAACUGAAACAUCUAAGUACCCCGAGGAAAAGAAAUCAACCGAGAUUCCCCCAGUAGCGGCGAGCGAACGGGGAGCAGCCCAGAGCCUGAAUCAGUGUGUGUGUUAGUGGAAGCGUCUGGAAAGGCGUGCGAUACAGGGUGACAGCCCCGUACACAAAAAUGCACAUGCUGUGAGCUCGAUGAGUAGGGCGGGACACGUGGUAUCCUGUCUGAAUAUGGGGGGACCAUCCUCCAAGGCUAAAUACUCCUGACUGACCGAUAGUGAACCAGUACCGUGAGGGAAAGGCGAAAAGAACCCCGGCGAGGGGAGUGAAAAAGAACCUGAAACCGUGU